Molecule: ribosomal RNA, 730 nt
Filed under: uncultured fungus
Lineage: Eukaryota; Fungi
Description: eukaryotic LSU rRNA
Rfam family: Eukaryotic large subunit ribosomal RNA (bases 99-730)
Source: RNAcentral
UAAUGAACGGCGCCACGGUGGCACUAAAUGUAACGAGCUUUNGAUAGCACGCAUCUAGUGGUGUCCGAGCCCGCUCUCAACCCAUUAUUUCUAAAGGUUGACCUCGGAUCAGGUAGGAAUACCCGCUGAACUUAAGCAUAUCAAUAAGCGGAGGAAAAGAAACCAACAGGGAUUACCCUAGUAACGGCGAGUGAAGCGGUAACAGCUCAAAUUUGAAAUCUGGCCUUCACAGGUCCGAGUUGUAAUUUGUAGAGGAUGUUUCGGGCAAAGCUGCGGUUUAAGUUUCUUGGAACAGAACGUCAUAGAGGGUGAGAGUCCCGUCUAGAACCGAUAGUUGCGUCCAUGUGAAGCUCCUUCGACGAGUCGAGUUGUUUGGGAAUGCAGCUCAAAAUGGGUGGUAAAUUUCAUCUAAAGCUAAAUAUUGGCCAGAGACCGAUAGCGCACAAGUAGAGUGAUCGAAAGAUGAAAAGCACUUUGAAAAGAGAGUUAAACAGUAUGUGAAAUUGUUGAAAGGGAAGCGCUUGCAACUAGACUUGUGUAUAGCAGUUCCCCCCGUCUUCUGACUGGGCUAUUCUGUUAUAUCCAGGCCAGCAUCGGUUCAGGUGGUUGGUUAAAGGCCUUGGGAAUGUAUCUACCUCCGGGUCGACUUAUAGCCCAGGGUGUAAUGCGGCCUACCUGGACCGAGGAACGCGCUUUUGCUCGGAUGCUGGCGUAAUGGUUGUAAGCGGCC